Podarcis lilfordi (Lilford's wall lizard) is the source of this 81-nucleotide non-coding RNA. The record is from the annotation of a GenBank genome assembly. NCBI's taxonomy places the organism in Eukaryota, Metazoa, Chordata, Lepidosauria, Squamata, Lacertidae.
UGUGUGUUUUUGUGUGUGUGUGUGUGUGUGUGUGUGUGUGUAUAUAUAUAUACACACACAUACACAUAUACAGUAUAUAUG